This 237-nucleotide ribosomal RNA is filed under the name uncultured bacterium. RNAcentral describes it as "partial 16S ribosomal RNA". It matches the Rfam family "Bacterial small subunit ribosomal RNA", at positions 28 to 263 of the family's 1533-position model. The record is from RNAcentral.
GAUGAACGCUAGCGGCAGGCCUAAUACAUGCAAGUCGGACGGGAUUUGGGAGCUUGCUCCCAAUGAGAGUGGCGCACGGGUGCGUAACACGUAUGUAACCUACCUUAGUCAGGGGGAUAGCCUCUCGAAAGAGAGAUUAAGACCGCAUAAAAUACACAGUAUAGCAUUAUACAAUGAUCAAAUAUUUAUAGGACUAAGAUGGGCAUGCGGAACAUUAGCUAGUUGGUGAGGUAACGG